This 468-nucleotide ribosomal RNA is filed under the name uncultured bacterium. Its description in RNAcentral is "partial 16S ribosomal RNA". It matches the Rfam family "Bacterial small subunit ribosomal RNA", at positions 28 to 507 of the family's 1533-position model. The record is from RNAcentral.
GACGAACGCUGGCGGCGUGCUUAACACAUGCAAGUCGAACGGAAAGGCCCUGCUUUUGUGGGGUGCUCGAGUGGCGAACGGGUGAGUAACACGUGAGUAACCUGCCCUUGACUUUGGGAUAACUUCAGGCAACUGGGGCCAAUACCGGAUAGGAGCUCCUGCUGCAUGGUGGGGGAUGGAAAGUUUCGGCGGUUGGGGAUAGACUCGCGGGUUAUCAGCUUGUUGGUGGGGUAGCGGCUUACCAAGGCUUUGACGGGUAGCCGGCCUGAGAGGGUGACCGGCCACAUUGGGACUGAGAUACAGCGCAGACUCCUACGGGAGGCAGCGGUGUGGAAUAUUGCACAAUGGGCGGAAGCCUGAUGCAGCAACGCCGCGUGCGGGAUGACGGCCUUCGGGUUGUGAACCGCGUUCGCCGGUGACGAAGCGUGAGUGACGGUAAUGGGUGAAGAAGCACCGGCUAACUACGUG